GGCCAGCUCCAUCUCAUGGGAUGGUGUCUUUUGCUGGGGAUCUGAAACUUUCCAUGAAGGCUUGAAUGAGUCCCUCGGGGAUUGGACCUUUCAGCAAACAUAUGAUUCUACUAGACAGCACAAUAUACUGUGGAAAUAUUGACAGGCUUGCCACUGCAGCACAGAGACCAAGCUUCACAAAAGGAAACUGUGACCUCAAGCUCACCCUGGAC
This is a long non-coding RNA of Neopelma chrysocephalum (saffron-crested tyrant-manakin), 212 nucleotides long. RefSeq lists it as uncharacterized. The transcript has 3 exons. Lineage: Eukaryota; Metazoa; Chordata; Aves; Passeriformes; Pipridae. The record is from RefSeq and is a predicted model, not a curated record.